This 253-nucleotide ribosomal RNA is filed under the name uncultured bacterium. Its description in RNAcentral is "partial 16S ribosomal RNA". It matches the Rfam family "Bacterial small subunit ribosomal RNA", at positions 524 to 776 of the family's 1533-position model. The record is from RNAcentral.
UACGGAGGGUGCGAGCGUUAAUCGGAAUUACUGGGCGUAAAGGGUGCGUAGGUUGUUAGAUAAGUUGACUGUGAAAGUCCUGGGCUCAACCUAGGGAUGUCAGUUAAGACUGUGUAACUUGAGUAUAGGAGAGGGUAGUGGAAUUUCCGGUGUAGCGGUGAAAUGCGUAGAUAUCGGAAGGAACACCGGUGGCGAAGGCGUCUACCUGGCCUGAUACUGACACUGAAGCACGAAAGCGUGGGGAGCAAACAGG